Molecule: ribosomal RNA, 253 nt
Filed under: uncultured bacterium
Lineage: Bacteria
Description: partial 16S ribosomal RNA
Rfam family: Bacterial small subunit ribosomal RNA
Source: RNAcentral
UACGAAGGGGGCUAGCGUUGUUCGGAAUCACUGGGCGUAAAGGGCGCGUAGGCGGCCUUGUAAGUCGGGGGUGAAAGCCUGUGGCUCAACCACAGAAUUGCCUUCGAUACUGCGAGGCUUGAGACCGGAAGAGGUAAGUGGAAUUCCGGGUGUAGUGGUGAAAUGCGUAGAUAUCCGGAGGAACACCAGUGGCGAAGGCGGCUAACUGGUCCAGAUCUGACGCUGAGGUGCGAAAGCGUGGGGAGCAAACAGG